UAUUCAAAAUGGCGUUUCGCUAAGAGGUUAAUGCUGAUGACACUCCAGUUUUCAUCAAUAAUAGUAGUGAAACAAGUGAAGUAACGAGUGCUUGUUGUGAUAAAUUUAAAGUAGAACUACAAAAGACCUAAAUAGAACUCAGAUCAGCACAAAAAAUUAUUUAACUGCUACAAGAAAAGAUGAGCUUAAACACGCCCAAUCGGACCCGCCAGAAGAAGUACUGUCCAACAUCAAGAUUGAACCCGAUGACAGCACACUGGAGCUACAGAUUGCCCUCAAGAAAGCACGAAGUCUGAAGCUGCAGGAGGCUGUUACAGAAUCAAAGAACAGUAUAGAAAAGGUGGCAGAGUCAGUACUGGAGAGAAACUCAGAAGGAAACACGGAAGGUGGUUCCAUUGUGCUGAAUGGUACAGCAGAAUUCUGCCGUAUGUUGGAUGACAUCGCCACGUAUGGUCUGGCUGGCAACAGGGAUGAAGACACUCAGGAACUACUUAUGAGUGCAAUAUAACCAUCCACAGAUAAAUGUACACUUGGCAAGGCACUUUGAUUUAGAAUGUGUCAACACUGGAUACAGUCCAUUGCCCAUGUAGAGUUAUUUACUUGCAACUGCAACAGAAUUUGAAUAUAUUUUAAUCACAGUUGAAUUUCAUGAUAAUGGAUAUAUAAAUCACUGAACUGAGUACAGAACUGGAAACAUCAAAUAAAAGAUCCUAGAAAUGA
Molecule: long non-coding RNA, 720 nt
Organism: Cryptotermes secundus
Lineage: Eukaryota; Metazoa; Arthropoda; Insecta; Blattodea; Kalotermitidae
Exons: 3
Source: RefSeq, a predicted model, not a curated record